GACGAACGCUGGCGGCGUGCUUAACACAUGCAAGUCGAGCGGUAAGGCCCUUUCGGGGGUACACGAGCGGCGAACGGGUGAGUAACACGUGGGUGACCUGCCCUCAGCUCUGGGAUAAGCCUGGGAAACCGGGUCUAAUACUGGAUAUGACUCCAUGACGCAUGUUGUGGGGUGGAAAGCCUUGUGCGGCUGAGGAUGGGCCCGCGGCCUAUCAGCUUGUUGGUGGGGUGANGGCCUACCAAGGCGACGACGGGUAGCCGGCCUGAGAGGGCGACCGGCCACACUGGGACUGAGACACGGCCCAGACUCCUACGGGAGGCAGCAGUGGGGAAUCUUGCGCAAUGGGCGAAAGCCUGACGCAGCGAUGCCGCGUGAGGGAUGACGGCC
This 387-nucleotide ribosomal RNA is filed under the name uncultured bacterium. RNAcentral describes it as "bacterial SSU rRNA". It matches the Rfam family "Bacterial small subunit ribosomal RNA", at positions 28 to 416 of the family's 1533-position model. The record is from RNAcentral.